This 900-nucleotide ribosomal RNA is filed under the name uncultured bacterium. RNAcentral's name for it is "bacterial SSU rRNA". It matches the Rfam family "Bacterial small subunit ribosomal RNA", at positions 18 to 915 of the family's 1533-position model. The record is from RNAcentral.
CCUGGCUCAGAUUGAACGCUGGCGGCAUGCCUUACACNUGCAAGUCGAACGGUAACGGGCCUUCGGGUGCCGACGAGUGGCGAACGGGUGAGUAAUAUAUCGGAACGUACCAUUCAGUGGGGGAUAACGUAGCGAAAGUUACGCUAAUACCGCAUAUUCUGUGCGCAGGAAAGCAGGGGAUCGCAAGACCUUGCGCUGAUUGAGCGGCCGAUAUCAGAUUAGCUAGUUGGUGAGGUAAAAGCUCACCAAGGCGACGAUCUGUAGCGGGUCUGAGAGGAUGAUCCGCCACACUGGAACUGAGACACGGUCCAGACUCCUACGGGAGGCAGCAGUGGGGAAUUUUGGACAAUGGGGGCAACCCUGAUCCAGCCAUGCCGCGUGAGUGAAGAAGGCCUUCGGGUUGUAAAGCUCUUUCAGCCGGGAAGAAAACGCAUGGGUUAAUACCCUGUGUGGAUGACGGUACCGGAAUAAGAAGCACCGGCUAACUACGUGCCAGCAGCCGCGGUAAUACGUAGGGUGCGAGCGUUAAUCGGAAUUACUGGGCGUAAAGCGUGCGCAGGCGGUUUGGUAAGACAGGCGUGAAAUCCCCGGGCUUAACCUGGGAACUGCGUUUGUGACUGCCAGGCUAGAGUACGGCAGAGGGGGGUGGAAUUCCACGUGUAGCAGUGAAAUGCGUAGAGAUGUGGAGGAACACCAAUGGCGAAGGCAGCCCCCUGGGUCGAUACUGACGCUCAUGCACGAAAGCGUGGGUAGCAAACAGGAUUAGAUACCCUGGUAGUCCACGCCCUAAACGAUGUCAACUAGGUGUUGGGAGGGUAAAACCUUUUAGUACCGUAGCUAACGCGAGAAGUUGACCGCCUGGGGAGUACGGCCGCAAGGUUAAAACUCAAAGGAAUGACG